Molecule: ribosomal RNA, 405 nt
Filed under: Triticum aestivum (bread wheat)
Lineage: Eukaryota; Viridiplantae; Streptophyta; Magnoliopsida; Poales; Poaceae
Description: partial small subunit ribosomal RNA
Source: RNAcentral
AUGUUUGAUCGAGUAGCUGUCGGUCAGGAAGCGUCGUCCCCGGUUGAUCGAGCAUCUGGCAGCGAGGAAACGUUGUCCUGGUCUGAUGAAGCAGAAGCGCCGUCGUCCGAGAACGAGGAGGAGCUCCCUACGGCGGCAGAACAUCCACAGGGGCAGCCACAGCCGCCCGCUGUUCAGCCCGCAGUGGCGGAUGCGCAGGCGCAGCCACUGCCCAACGAUGAUCGGGCCGUGAUCGCAGCGGCGGCGCCCGCGCCGGGAACAGCGGCCGCCGAGUACAUUUGGUGCUCAGCUUGCCUUUUACGGCCAGCGUCGGUGCGCCUCAUACCGGAGAUGCACAUCUGCCACUGCGUGCCCUGCCACUUCGCCCCGUCCGGCAGGCCCAACUGCCCGGUUUGCGACGGUUGA